UGGGGAAUAUUGCACAAUGGGCGCAAGCCUGAUGCAGCCAUGCCGCGUGUAUGAAGAAGGCCUUCGGGUUGUAAAGUACUUUCAGCGAGGAGGAAGGCGUUGUGGUUAAUAACCGCAGCGAUUGACGUUACUCGCAGAAGAAGCACCGGCUAACUCCGUGCCAGCAGCCGCGGUAAUACGGAGGGUGCAAGCGUUAAUCGGAAUUACUGGGCGUAAAGCGCACGCAGGCGGUCUGUCAAGUCGGAUGUGAAAUCCCCGGGCUCAACCUGGGAACUGCAUUCGAAACUGGCAGGCUAGAGUCUUGUAGAGGGGGGUAGAAUUCCAGGUGUAGCGGUGAAAUGCGUAGAGAUCUGGAGGAAUACCGGUGGCGAAGGCGGCCCCCUGGACAAAGACUGACGCUCAGGUGCGAAAGCGUGGGGAGCAAACA
This 427-nucleotide ribosomal RNA is filed under the name uncultured bacterium. RNAcentral's name for it is "bacterial SSU rRNA". It matches the Rfam family "Bacterial small subunit ribosomal RNA", at positions 355 to 774 of the family's 1533-position model. The record is from RNAcentral.